GAUGAAGAACGUAGCGAAAUGCGAUACGUAAUGUGAAUUGCAGAAUUCAGUGAAUCAUCGAGUCUUUGAACGCACAUUGCGCCCCCUGGUAUUCCGGGGGGCAUGCCUGUCCGAGCGUCAUUGCUGCCCUCAAGCACGGCUUGUGUGUUGGGCCCCGUCCUCCGAUUCCGGGGGACGGGCCCGAAAGGCAGCGGCGGCACCGCGUCCGGUCCUCGAGCGUAUGGGGCUUUGUCACCCGCUCUGUAGGCCCGGCCGGCGCUUGCCGAUCAACCCAAAUUUUUAUCCAGGUUGACCUCGGAUCAGGUAGGGAUACCCGCUGAACUUAAGAAUAUCAAUAAGCGGAGGA
RNAcentral lists this unclassified non-coding RNA (346 nucleotides) under soil metagenome. Its description in RNAcentral is "partial contains 5.8S ribosomal RNA, internal transcribed spacer 2, and large subunit ribosomal RNA". The stretch from base 1 to 120 matches the Rfam family "5.8S ribosomal RNA", at positions 35 to 154 of the family's 154-position model. The record is from RNAcentral.